GCCCUGGGGGUGCAAAUUUCCAGCUGUCCCAUUCCCUCCCACGCAGCGGCUCACCCUGAAGGAGGUGUUUGAGGAUGGGAAGCCGAGGCUCGACGUCCUCAAGAGCCACUUGGUGAAGGAAGGGCGGCUGGAGGAGGACGCGGCGCUCAAGAUCAUCAACGACGGCGCCGCCAUCCUGAGGCACGAGAAGACCAUGAUCGAGGUGGAGGCCCCUAUCACAGUGUGUGGUGACAUCCACGGGCAGUUUUUUGACCUGAUGAAGCUGUUUGAAGUUGGAGGAUCACCCAAUAACACCCGCUACCUCUUCCUGGGAGACUACGUGGACAGAGGCUACUUCAGUAUAGAGUGCGUGCUGUAUUUAUGGAGUUUAAAGAUAAAUCACCCCAAAACGUUGUUCCUCCUUCGAGGGAACCACGAGUGCAGGCACCUCACAGAAUAUUUCACCUUCAAGCAGGAAUGUCGAAUCAAGUACUCGGAGCGAGUGUACGACGCGUGCAUGGAUACCUUUGACUGUCUUCCUCUUGCUGCCCUCCUAAACCAGCAAUUCCUGUGUGUCCACGGAGGACUGUCUCCAGAAAUCACGUGUCUAGAUGACAUUAGGAAAUUAGACAGGUUUAAGGAGCCUCCAGCCUUUGGUCCAAUGUGUGACCUGCUCUGGUCUGAUCCCUCGGAGGAUUAUGGCAAUGAGAAAACACUGGAGCAUUUUGCCCACAACACUGUCCGAGGCUGCUCCUAUUUCUACAGUUAUCCUGCAGUGUGUGAAUUUUUGCAGAACAAUAGUUUGUUAUCCGUAAUCCGAGCUCACGAAGCCCAGGAUGCUGGGUACCGAAUGUACAGGAAGAGCCAGACGACGGGCUUUCCCUCGCUAAUCACAAUCUUCUCUGCACCAAAUUACUUAGAUGUCUAUAACAACAAGGCUGCUGUACUGAAAUAUGAAAACAACGUCAUGAACAUCAGGCAGUUCAACUGUUCCCCUCAUCCCUACUGGCUUCCAAACUUCAUGGAUGUCUUCACAUGGUCUUUGCCUUUCGUAGGGGAAAAGGUCACCGAGAUGCUCGUUAACAUCCUCAACAUCUGCUCCGAUGACGAGCUGAUCUCAGAUGGGGACGAGACGUUGGAAGAUCACUACAUUUCAAGCUAUCCGAAAGGUGGGACAACAGUCCGGAAGGAGAUCAUCAGGAAUAAGAUCAGAGCCAUUGGGAAGAUGGCACGUGUGUUCUCGGUUCUUCGGGAGGAGAGUGAGAGCGUGCUGACCCUCAAAGGCCUGACCCCCACAGGUACCCUGCCCCUGGGAGUGCUCUCGGGGGGCAGGCAGACCCUCCAGACCGCCACAGUAGAAGCGGUAGAGGCACGGGAAGGUAUGGCUAGAACCCGCCGAGAGACCCCAAAGCAUCUCCGUGUCCAUCCGUGGGUUCUCCCCGCAGCACAAGAUCCGCAGCUUCGAGGAGGCGCGGGGGCUGGACCGGAUCAACGAGCGGAUGCCGCCGCGCAAGGAUUCCCUGCACUCGGACGGGCCCGUGAACUUGGUAACCUCGAACUCUGCGGACAAGAACGGCACAGGGAAGAAAUCCCAGUAACGCUCCGAGCGCCCGAACCCGCACCACUAAAGGAUCCAAAACUUAAGGAAUUUUAUUUAUUUAUUAUCUGGGGGUGGGCUGGGGGCGAGGGGGGGUUGAAACCAACGUCACCCGGAGGCACGUCCAUAAGUCCAAGUUCGCAUCCGUUCUGUAAAAGGAAGGGCGACCAUUUUGUAAUUAUUUUUUUUUUUUUUUAAUUUAUGUUCAAUAUAUAUAAAAGGAGUCCAUUUUUUUUUUUUUCUUUUUUUUUUUUUUUUUAAAUUUAGAAACCAAUCCAACUGCUAGUGCAUCCCGGGAAUGUUGUGCUGUUCCAGCUGCCCUCCCCGAGAGGCCAAACCUCUGUGGAGGUCGGGGAGGGGGAUUAAAAGAAACAAAAAAAAUCAGUCAAACCAGGCAACUUGGGUCGUUGGCUUUGGGACAAUUUGGAGUUGGCCUGAGCUUUCCAAAGCAGGUCCUUCCCUUCAGGACAGGGUUGGGUUGGUUUUCCUUUUCACACCUGUUUUCUUCCCAGAUUUUCCUGUUGCUUUCAAGUCCUUGCCUACCUGCAGCUGCUGCUUUAGCAACCGAUUCCCUGGAAGGCACGUUGUUGUUGAGAUCCAUCCCUUUUCCAAGGUGACAGCAAGGAUUAGCUCUGAAGGAGUCCAGGGUGUUAACACCAAUCACGGCACCUUUUCCUUCAGGAAUCCAGCUUUAUUCCAGUGGAAUCCCAAACAAAAAUGAGGGGAAGGCAGGUGGGGGAAGCGCUGCCCCUUGUUGUGGCUCUUCCCCGGCUGUCCCGGCUUGGAGCAGCCACUUUGCUGCCCGUGCAGCAGAAUUCCCUUGGGAAUCGCUCUGAUUCAGAGCAGAGGAAUUAUCUCUGCUGUCUGAUGAUCUCUGGGAAAGCUGCCAGGCCUGAAUUUUAAAGGAAAAGGGGGUGAUUUAUAACCUGGGGAAUAACAGACCCCCUGUUGUCCCACCACCACAGGCUGCUGAGCCCGCGGCACAUUCCCUGUUCCCGGCUCUGGAAUCGGCCCUUGCUGGUCAGUUUGGGGUGGGGCCCCCUCAGUGUCACCUCCCUGUCUCCCAGGGUGUGUUUUGGGGGAUCUUCCACUCACUGUGAUUGACUUGGGGCAUCACCCACUGUCAGCCAGUGGCUAUUCCUCCGACUCCAAAGGAGCCGUGGGCACCUGAGCCUUUCCCAGCAGCUGGAAAAGAAUUGGGGAUAAGAUGUGUGGGGAUGCUGCUGGUUUCUGGGAGAUGUGGCUUGGUGCUGGUUUCAAGGCACCCCCCCAGUUUUGGGAGCACCUCCCUCGGCUGCAGGGAGGGGAGGCAGGUUUGGCAGGAGGCUGGAAGAUAAAACUGGGCAGAUCCAGUGGGAAUUUUUGAAAGGGUGCUUGUGCAGUGCUGGAGAGGGAUCUCCAGGGGCUCCCAGGGGACACCCCCUGUGUGGUGCUGGGGAUUUUGGAGCGUAGAUGUGUUCCUUUUUCCUUUGGAAAAGGGUUUUGUGAGAUUCCCGUUGGUCGCUUCCCUUCCCGUUGCCCGGAGCCAAGGAAGCAAACCCCUGGCCAGCUUUCCCUUCUUCCCCACCUUUUCCCAAGCUCGAGCCUCUCCCAAGGGAUCUUUGCCAACACUUUCCCUGGAUCUUGCUGUCUCCCCUUUGUGAUUCCAGCGCCAGAGGAAAACAGCAACUUUGCAGGAAGCUUUCAGGCUGUGUCUUAGGAUCACACCUCACUUAAUUCCACGGCGGCUCCUUAGGAUUCUGUGAGCGAACCACCGGGUUUCCACAAGUCACAUGCCUCCACUUUUCCCUCUUUUUUUUCCCCUCCUCCUGUUUUUUUUACACGCCCACCGCUUUGCAAAAAGUGCGAAAAGAGGGGUGUUUGGAGCGAGCUUCCCUCCCCCCACCCCCCCGUCCGAGGCCUGGGGCCAAAUUGCCUUUGUCUGUGAGUAUUCUUUGUUCUUUAAGGGCCUCCUUUGAUCGCCGUGAGCCCCGUGUGUGGUAUCCGAGAGCACAGACCGUGCCCGGUGCUGCCCGUGCAUGUUCGGGCGUGUUGUGCUGACCCAGGCUGGGAUCUCACCCAAGCAGCAGGUUUUAGUCGGGAGAUUUUUGGGAUGGGAGCCCCGCGGGACCCCCCGGGCCUGGCACCCCCUCCCCGCACAGGGGGGGGUCAGCAGAGCCCGGCCCAUCGCGGAGGAGGGGUUUGCUUUGCUGGCAGUUUGUCUCCCCAACCCUCUUCUCCUGCUCUGGCAUCACCAGUUCCCCCUCCCUAAAAUCCCUGUGGACCUUGUGCUUUGUGGAUUGGGGGAUCCAGAGCCACCCCUCCAUCCCUGGGGCUCGUGGGGCUGCAGCUUCCCAGUGUCCCGGCCCUGGAGAAGGUGACCAAGGGCAGGAUGUUCCCUUCCCUGUCCCAGGAGCCGUGUGGCAGCUGGCACAUGUGGAUGCCACACUUCCAGGUCCCCUCUUCCCUUAAAACCAGUUCCCGAGGGGGUGAGGAGCAGCGAUGGGGCUCUGGGUGCUAAUUACCCCCUCAAUUAACAGCCCCUGUCCGUGCUGGCAUCCCGGUGGGAACACAGAGCUUUCCCUGCCCCAGCACCGAGAUCCCCCCUCCCCUCUUUUGGGGAAGAGGGUGACGACAACCUCGGAGCAGAAUUCCCUGCCCUGACUCCCCCACCACAACAAACCAAAAAACAAUCCCUAAAACCCCCCAAAUUCCCGUGUUACUCCUCUCUUUCUCCUCAAACCCGGCCCCUCAGAGCUGUGCACAUCCCAAGACCCCUCAAUCUCAGAGCUCCUGCCCAUCCCUUCCCCUCCCCGGCUGCCACCUGGAGCUUGGACAACCGGGAUUCUGGGAAGCCCACCGGCCUUGGGGGAGCCCCCACCUCCCCUGGGGAGCCCCCAAAUCCAGGGAAGCCCCCACGUCCCCACAGCCUGGGUUUUUUUGCAUGUUCUAGCAAGGUGCAUGUCCAAGGAGGGGAGUCGGCAACGGGGCGGGUGGUGGGUUCGAGUUCAGGCUUAAUUUUAUUUUUUGGGAUUGGGAGAACCUCUCUGGCUGCCUCUGGCACAGAUCCCACCUGGCCAGGUGAGCUGGGGUGGGAUGCAGAUCCCACCAACCUCGGCCAGGGAGGACCUGAAGCCCCACAGGGGGUGCAGUGAUGGUGAUUUUGGGGUUCUCAGUGCUGAAGGAUCAUAUGCCCGUUGCCUGGAGACUGCCUCCUUUUUAAUUUUUAAUUUUUAUUUCUUGCUUUUAUUUUGUUGUUUUUUUUUUUUUUUUUUAGUUCUGUCGAAAGGAGAAAAAAAAUGGUGAAAAUGUUAUUUAUUGGCAGAAAUUAUUUAAUAUAAUUUCUUUUUUUUUUUUGUGAAACAAGGAAUGAAUUUGUUAGAACUGUCUCGAUGUAAAUCGGAGUCAUCUUUAAGGAGGAAAAAAAAAGAAAAAAAAAAGAUAAAAAUUGACACAGUCA
RNA transcript from Neopelma chrysocephalum (saffron-crested tyrant-manakin), 5015 nucleotides. It is a transcript of the gene named protein phosphatase 3 catalytic subunit gamma, with no coding region annotated. NCBI's taxonomy places the organism in Eukaryota, Metazoa, Chordata, Aves, Passeriformes, Pipridae. The transcript is spliced from 16 exons. The record is from RefSeq and is a predicted model, not a curated record.